Corvus hawaiiensis (hawaiian crow) is the source of this 716-nucleotide long non-coding RNA. RefSeq lists it as uncharacterized. Lineage: Eukaryota; Metazoa; Chordata; Aves; Passeriformes; Corvidae. The transcript is spliced from 3 exons. The record is from RefSeq and is a predicted model, not a curated record.
UCAGAGAUAGGGUACCCAAGUAAGUCUACCUGCAUCUGCAAGGCUGGGUGCUGUGGGGGAGUCAGCUGGUACAGUGAAGAAAAUUAAACUGGAACUUCAUCAGCAAAAGGGAAUGUGAUCUCCAAUACUGGCAAAUUGAGUUCUGGUGACCAAGGAGGUGAAGAGAUGAGAUGCUCUGCAGGACCUGAUUUUCACAAACGAGAUCUUGUUGGGAAUGUGAAUGCCAGGAGCAGAUGUGGCCACCAUGGAGUUCAGGAUCCUGAGAGAAGACAGCAAUUUAACAACCCUGGACAUUAGGAAAGCAAACAAUGAGACCUGCUUGGAAGUAUCCCACGUGACAGCAUCUUGCAGAAGAGAGGAGGAGUUCAGGAAGGCUGACUGAUUUUCAAGGAUCACCUCUUCCAGACUCAAGAGUUGUUGAUCCCCACCUGCAGGAAGUAAAACAAAGGUGGGAGGAGGCCUGCAUGGAUGAACAGGAAGCUCAAAGAUUUCUCAGUAGCCUGUACAGUUGUCUGCAUUGGACUCUCUUCAGAGUGGUGAAAGCAGUAAGUAAAGUUGUGGACAUGUAACCUCUUAAAAAAAUAUUGCUAGUCAUUAAUAACAAUUUACACAUACAAAUUUUACAGUGUUUGGAUGGAGAAUUUUGGUUCAGGCCCAGUUUUCCCAGUAUACACUUUUUAAGGUGUUUGGGGAAGAUAUAUUAUCUUCUGAAAAAA